Molecule: ribosomal RNA, 789 nt
Filed under: uncultured Actinomycetes bacterium
Lineage: Bacteria; Bacillati; Actinomycetota; Actinomycetes
Description: bacterial SSU rRNA
Rfam family: Bacterial small subunit ribosomal RNA
Source: RNAcentral
AAAGUCUCCUCCGGGGGGCGAGUAGAGUGGCGCACGGGUGAGUAACACGUAGGUAAUCUACCUUUGGAUUGGGAAUAACAACCGGAAACGGUUGCUAAUACCGAAUAAUGCAGCGGCACCUAAUGGUGACAGUUGUUAAAGCGGGGGAUCGCAAGACCUCGCGUCUGAAGAGGAGCCUGCGGCAGAUUAGCUAGUUGGUAAGGUAACGGCUUACCAAGGCUAUGAUCUGUAGCCGGCCUGAGAGGGCGGUCGGCCACACUGACACUGACAUACGGGUCAGACUCCUACGGGAGGCAGCAGUCGGGAAUUUUGGGCAAUGGGCGAAAGCCUGACCCAGCAACGCCGCGUGAAGGAUGAAAUCCUUCGGGAUGUAAACUUCGCAAGAACGGGAAGAAUAAGUAAGGGUUAAUAUCCCUUAUGAUGACGGUACUGUUUGUAAGCUCCGGCUAACUCCGUGCCAGCAGCCGCGGUAAUACGGGGGGAGCAAGCGUUGUUCGGAUUUACUGGGCGUAAAGGGCGCGUAGGCGGCCACCGCAAGUCGACUGUGAAAUCUCCGGGCUUAACCCGGAAAGGUCAGCCGAUACUGCGGGGCUAGAGUGCAGAAGGGGCAACUGGAAUUCUCGGUGUAGCGGUGAAAUGCGUAGAUAUCGAGAGGAACACCUGCGGCGAAGGCGGGUUGCUGGGCUGACACUGACGCUGAUGUGCGAAAGCUAGGGGAGCGAACGGGAUUAGAUACCCCGGUAGUCCUAGCCUUAAACGAUGAAUGCUUGGCGUCUGGGGUUUUAUAGU